This is a long non-coding RNA of Labrus mixtus (cuckoo wrasse), 521 nucleotides long. RefSeq lists it as uncharacterized. The record is from RefSeq and is a predicted model, not a curated record. The transcript is spliced from 4 exons. NCBI's taxonomy places the organism in Eukaryota, Metazoa, Chordata, Actinopteri, Labriformes, Labridae.
AAAAAAAACUGCAGAAUUAAGUACAACAGUCCAAGAUAUGACGUAUGUUUGGAUCGGAGCUGGGGUCGGCCUCUUAUUGACUGCUGGAUACAUUAUUUUCCAGGUGUGCAUCAUGAGGAGGUUUAUGAAUGAAAGCACAGAUGCUAGAUCAUAAACCUUCAGAGCAGCCUCACCAGCUUGCCAUAAUGCCGUCUCAGCCAAUCAGAACAUCCCAUGCCAUUGGUGUCCAAUGACAUGCAGUGUUAAAGUCAGACAGAGUGAUUUGCAGGAUGAUGUGAAACCUGCAGAAGAGGCAUGUGGGGGGGUAGACGAUCAACCAGGCGGACAGUUUCCCCCUCACGUUUCCACACACAAAACACUUUUAAAGAUCUGAUUUACAUCUUAUGAUGACGAAUCGAUUAACAAUUACCUGUAGCAAUGUGGUUUUCAAACUAACUAUUUUAAGAUAAUAUGAGAAAAGUGUUUUCAUUUGGCUGCUGAGUGUUGUGUAGUUUGAUUAAAUCGUCAUUUUAAAGCCUGAA